GCCACGUUGCGUUUUAUAGGAAAGAUGCCAGAAGCAUCUUCUACUUUUUCUUUUCCUCUUCGUUUUUCUCUCAGUCGUUCCGUUUCUCUUUAGUUUUCCCGUCUGUCUUUUGAUUUCGGUUCCGAUCGGAUCUUCUCGAAGGUGUUUGGCGUUUUUUCCCCUGUUUUGCACAAACGAAUUGCUCCCAUUCAGGAAACAUUUUUCUUCAAGUUUUAGGGUUUUAUUCUUCCUAGCUUUUUCUGGGUCAGGAAAUAUUGGUGUUUGAAGAAAUUAAGGCUUAGCAAAGUGUGACUACCUAUGCUUGAAUUAAUGUUGAAGUUUUGAGCUCAAUUAGAUUAAAGUGCAUAGAACAUCCAUAGAAGUGAUUAAUUUUGGUUGAAAAAAAAAAAAAACUUUGCUGCAUCUCAGUUCCUAUUCUAAUUUUAACUGCCAAGUUAGCUUUCAGCUGUCAAGUUUACAGACAAUUGAUUGUGUUUUUUCCACUCAGCGUGGAUAAGACAAGUAAGAAGUGAUACUCCCAUUGAAAACUUAUCUGCAAAAUAAAUUUUGCUCUGUGGUUACAUGGUGCAUUAGUGCAUAGUUUCACAACUGAACUAUAAGAAAUUGGCUAUCGUAUUUUCUAAAAUUUCAAUUGUUAAAGAAAUCACAAGAGAGUUUGAGAAUAAGCCAGGAUUCAAACCUGAAGAUAGACCUGAUAUAAUUUCUAGAAUCUUCAAAAUGAAGCUUGAUCAUAUGAUUGAUUUCAUCAAGUCCGGGAAGCCUUUUGGAGAAAUUCAAGCAAAAAUACUGAGAUGGAAAAGGUUAAGGAAAAAUUGCGAGGUAGAAAUUCCAUUAUGAGUUCUCCGGCCGAUUUGAGGUUUUGCAUCAUUGGAACAUCAGGCCUAUGUCAUUGCUUUACCUAAGGAAGGAAAAAAAAAUUGCUAAUUCAGCAAGGAGCUUACAGUGCUGACAAAUACAUUUUCAAACAAUGAAGAGGCAAACAUUCAAGGU
This is a long non-coding RNA of Pyrus x bretschneideri (Chinese white pear), 990 nucleotides long. RefSeq lists it as uncharacterized. Lineage: Eukaryota; Viridiplantae; Streptophyta; Magnoliopsida; Rosales; Rosaceae. The transcript has 10 exons. The record is from RefSeq and is a predicted model, not a curated record.